CCUACGGGAGGCAGCAGUGGGGAAUUUUGGACAAUGGGGGCAACCCUGAUCCAGCCAUGCCGCGUGCGGGAAGAAGGCCUUCGGGUUGUAAACCGCUUUUAGUCGGGAAGAAAAGGCGUCGUCUAAUAAACGGCGUUCUUGACGGUACCGGCGGAAUAAGCACCGGCUAACUACGUGCCAGCAGCCGCGGUAAUACGUAGGGUGCGAGCGUUAAUCGGAAUUACUGGGCGUAAAGCGUGCGCAGGCGGUUCGUUAAGUUCGAUGUGAAAGCCCCGGGCUCAACCUGGGAACUGCAUUGGAAACUGGCGAGCUUGAGUGUGGCAGAGGGGGGUGGAAUUCCGCGUGUAGCAGUGAAAUGCGUAGAGAUGCGGAGGAACACCGAUGGCGAAGGCAGCCCCCUGGGCCAACACUGACGCUCAGGCACGAAAGCGUGGGGAGCAAACAGGAUUAGAUACCCUGGUAGUC
RNAcentral lists this ribosomal RNA (465 nucleotides) under uncultured bacterium. Its description in RNAcentral is "bacterial SSU rRNA". It matches the Rfam family "Bacterial small subunit ribosomal RNA", at positions 338 to 795 of the family's 1533-position model. The record is from RNAcentral.